RNAcentral lists this ribosomal RNA (174 nucleotides) under uncultured Actinomycetes bacterium. RNAcentral describes it as "uncultured actinobacterium partial 16S ribosomal RNA". It matches the Rfam family "Bacterial small subunit ribosomal RNA", at positions 338 to 524 of the family's 1533-position model. The record is from RNAcentral. Lineage: Bacteria; Bacillati; Actinomycetota; Actinomycetes.
CCUACGGGAGGCAGCAGUGGGGAAUAUUGCACAAUGGGCGAAAGCCUGAUGCAGCGACGCCGCGUGAGGGAUGACGGCCUUCGGGUUGUAAACCUCUUUCAGCAGGGAAGAAGCGAAAGUGACGGUACCUGCAGAAGAGGCGCCGGCUAACUACGUGCCAGCAGCCGCGGUAAU